Molecule: long non-coding RNA, 999 nt
Organism: Dalotia coriaria
Lineage: Eukaryota; Metazoa; Arthropoda; Insecta; Coleoptera; Staphylinidae
Exons: 5
Source: RefSeq, a predicted model, not a curated record
GGUUGCAAAAAGAUAAGUUCACAAUAGUUGUUUGUUUGUUGUGUUGUUUAGUUGUUAAAAAGAUGUCACGUUUCCUACAUGGGGCGCUAGGUACACUAAACGAACGAACAUUCGAGUUGUUUACAAAGCAAGUGCAGAACAGAACAGGUUUGCGAGUUCUUAUCAGUUAUCACCAGUAGAAGUGAUCGUUUACAGUCUCGAGUAACGUUUUAAUUCGGUUCUUCGUGUGGCUAAACGUGCUGCGAAAGAAACUAAUUGGUGCCUCAGCAAAACUCUUUUCAUCGUCGUAUUGCAGAUCCUGUGCUGGGGAGUCGAACGCAUCAACGUAUUCCUGCAUCAAAAAGGCUCGGCGCUCGGUUUUCGCUCGUUCAACCUCCCAACAUGUUUCGGUAGCGAUUGAUUUCGUACUGUCCGUGGGUGGUUACUCAGACGUGCCUUUUUCGUGCCGCAACGCGAAGAAAAAAGCGGUUGAAACUUGAUAUCGUUUCGGACGUAUGCAAGUGAAUACUUACAACACCACCUUAGAUGAAACUGGACCAGCGCGAUUUGCAAAAGUCCGACACGUAUCUACACACAUCGGCAGAACAAAUAGGUUUAUAGUCUAUCAACUUUGAGGUAAAUAUGUCAGGGUCGCGAAAAACAUAACUACUGCAAUAAAUUAGCGAAAUCAUCAGCAAUUGGAAACCGGCAAUGGUAGAACGCGGGGCGAUGAGAGCAAAAUGUUAUGCUUGUGUAUUCUGACAUGCUGUGUUUUAUGUAUUACUGCACUAAACAGCAAACUUUACGUGUAAGUAUUGUGUUUACGUCACAAAAAUAGUAAAACAAGCACGUAUACUACUCGUAGCAUUUUUUUAAAUUCUGCAGUUAAAACAAAUUGCUUCUUAAGUUCCGGAAUUGUGGUGAAAAGUACCUACAAUUUAUCUCUUUGUCAUCAUAUUUAUAUAAUUGUAGAAUUGGCACCAAAUCUCAAGAAAUAUAUUUGUUUUGUAUUAUGUGUAA